CACGUAGGGUGCGAGCGUUGUCCGGAAUUAUUGGGCGUAAAGAGCUCGUAGGCGGUGUGUCGCGUCGGCCGUGAAAACCUGCAGCUUAACUGUGGGCUUGCGGUCGAUACGGGCAUCACUGGAGUUCGGCAGGGGAGACUGGAAUUCCUGGUGUAGCGGUGAAAUGCGCAGAUAUCAGGAGGAACACCGGUGGCGAAGGCGGGUCUCUGGGCCGUUGCUGACGCUGAGGCGCGACAGCGUGGGGAGCAAACAGG
Molecule: ribosomal RNA, 254 nt
Filed under: uncultured bacterium
Lineage: Bacteria
Description: partial 16S ribosomal RNA
Rfam family: Bacterial small subunit ribosomal RNA
Source: RNAcentral